UUGUUUCAGUGGCCACAGGUGGUGCGUUCCAGCUGCCUCAGUGGUCCCGAGACCAGGACAGCACAAUUACUCUAAAUUGUCCUGACAACUCAGUGGUCGGGAGACCCGAGGGCUCUAGAUAAUGUGUUUCUAUCAACUCAGUGAUCCGGAGACCCAAAACUGUAAUUUAGAUAACAUGCCUAAGUUUAACCCAGUGACCCCGAGACCCGAAACUGUAAUUAACAUGCUUAAUUCUGCUUCUGUAAUCUGCUUUUUUGGGAGCCAGGUGCCACAUUCCAAACCCUGGGAUGUAAUCAAUACCUUUGUGAUUUUUGCCUAUAUAAGUCUGGUUUUGCCACCAUCUUAUUGCUAUGAGAUUUGGGAAUGGCCCCUCAUAGUCCCGGAUUGCAAUAAAUGUGACUCUUUAAUUCGA
Myotis daubentonii (Daubenton's bat) is the source of this 412-nucleotide long non-coding RNA. RefSeq lists it as uncharacterized. The record is from RefSeq and is a predicted model, not a curated record. Lineage: Eukaryota; Metazoa; Chordata; Mammalia; Chiroptera; Vespertilionidae.